CCUACGGGAGGCAGCAGUGGGGAAUAUUGCGCAAUGGGCGAAAGCCUGACGCAGCGACGCCGCGUGCGGGAUGAAGGUCUUCGGAUCGUAACCCUCUGUCAGCAGGGAAGAACGGUCACUGUGCUAAUCAGCAGUGCAUUGACGGUACCUGCAAAGGAAGCACCGGCUAACUCCGUGCCAGCAGCCGCGGUAAUACGGAGGGUGCGAGCGUUAAUCGGAAUUACUGGGCGUAAAGCGCUCGUAGGCGGUAUGUCAAGUCAAGGGUGAACUCCCCGCGCUCAACGUGGGAACUGCCUUUGAAACUGGCAAACUUGAGGGUGUGAGAGGAGAGUGGAAUUCCAGGUGUAGGAGUGAAAUCCGUAGAUAUCUGGAGGAACAUCAGUGGCGAAGGCGACUAUCUGGCACAUAACUGACGCUGAGGAGCGAAAGCGUGGGGAGCAAACAGGAUUAGAUACCCGGGUAGUC
Molecule: ribosomal RNA, 465 nt
Filed under: uncultured bacterium
Lineage: Bacteria
Description: partial 16S ribosomal RNA
Rfam family: Bacterial small subunit ribosomal RNA
Source: RNAcentral